RNAcentral lists this ribosomal RNA (438 nucleotides) under uncultured Aminicenantes bacterium. Its description in RNAcentral is "bacterial SSU rRNA". It matches the Rfam family "Bacterial small subunit ribosomal RNA", at positions 950 to 1382 of the family's 1533-position model. The record is from RNAcentral. Lineage: Bacteria; Candidatus Aminicenantota.
UUCGACGCUACGCGAAGAACCUUACCUGGGCUUGAACUGCUGGUGGUAGAAGCCCGAAAGGGUAACCGACCGGAGCAAUCCGGGAGCCAGUAGAGGUGCUGCAUGGCUGUCGUCAGCUCGUGUCGUGAGAUGUUGGGUUAAGCCCCGCAACGAGCGCAACCCUUACCCUUAGUUGCCAGCGGGUAAUGCCGGGCACUCUAAGGGGACCGCCCGGAUAACGGGGAGGAAGGCGGGAUGACGUCAAGUCAGCAUGGCCCUUAUGUCCGGGGCUACACACGUGCUACAAUGGGCGAUACAGAGGGAAGCAAGGCCGCAAGGUAGAGCUAAUCCCUAAAGUCGUCCUCAGUUCGGAUUGCAGGCUGCAACUCGCCUGCAUGAAGUCGGAAUCGCUAGUAAUCGCGGAUCAGCUACGCCGCGGUGAAUACGUUCUCGGGCCUU